UUUGUGUUGUUUUUUGUUUU
RNAcentral lists this microRNA (20 nucleotides) under Bos taurus (domestic cattle). Its description in RNAcentral is "bta-miR-2444". Lineage: Eukaryota; Metazoa; Chordata; Mammalia; Artiodactyla; Bovidae. The record is from miRBase by way of RNAcentral.